GAAGGGUGCAAGCGUUAUCGGAAUUACUGGGCGUAAAGGGUGCGUAGGCGGUUUGUUAAGUCUGUCGUGAAAUCCCCGGGCUCAACCUGGGAAUGGCGAUGGAUACUGGCAGGCUAGAGUGUGUCAGAGGAUGGUGGAAUUUCCAGUGUAGCGGUGAAAUGCGUAGAGAUCGGAAGGAACAUCAGUGGCGAAGGCGGCCAUCUGGGACAACACUGACGCUGAAGCACGAAAGCGUGGGGAGCAAACAGAAUUAGAUACCCUGGUAGUCCACGCCCUAAACGAUGCGAACUGGAUGUUGGUCUCAACUCGGAGAUCAGUGUCGAAGCUAACGCGUUAAGUUCGCCGCCUGGGGAGUACGGUCGCAAGACUGGAACUCAAAGGAAUUGACGGGGGCCCGCACAAGCGGUGGAGUAUGUGGUUUAAUUCGAUGCAACGCGAAGAACCUUACCUGGCCUUGACAUGUCCGGAAUCCUGCAGAGAUGCGGGAGUGCCUUCGGGAAUCGGAACACAGGUGCUGCAUGGCUGUCGUCAGCUCGUGUCGUGAGAUGUUGGGUUAAGUCCCGCAACGAGCGCAACCCUUGUCCUUAGUUGCCAGCACGUAAUGGUGGGAACUCUAAGGAGAUUGCCGGUGACAAACCGGAGGAAGGUGGGGAUGACGUCAAGUCCUCAUGGCCCUUACGGCCAGGGCUACACACGUACUACAAUGGUCGGUACAGAGGGUUGCAAUACCGCGAGGUGGAGCCAAUCCCAGAAAGCCGAUCCCAGUCCGGAUCGAAGUCUGCAACUCGACUUCGUGAAGUCGGAAUCGCUAGUAAUCGCGGAUCAGCUAUGCCGCGGUGAAUACGUUC
RNAcentral lists this ribosomal RNA (848 nucleotides) under uncultured Gammaproteobacteria bacterium. Its description in RNAcentral is "bacterial SSU rRNA". It matches the Rfam family "Bacterial small subunit ribosomal RNA", at positions 527 to 1373 of the family's 1533-position model. Lineage: Bacteria; Pseudomonadati; Pseudomonadota; Gammaproteobacteria. The record is from RNAcentral.